Molecule: long non-coding RNA, 434 nt
Organism: Homo sapiens (human)
Lineage: Eukaryota; Metazoa; Chordata; Mammalia; Primates; Hominidae
Exons: 2
Source: RefSeq, a predicted model, not a curated record
CAAAAAAGACUUCUUUCGUGGACAGGCUGAGAAUCAUCGUCACCACCAUCACCCUGUAUCUAAUCCCAAGACGGCUCUCCAGGGCUGCAGAAACUUUCUUCCCACGCUGCCUGCCAGCGCCCCCGACCCCACCCCGUUUCCUGUAACUUCUCCUAGAUAUAGCCCAGCUGGGUCUUCUCAUCAUAAUGCAAAUGACCCAAGGUCUUAAGCCCGUCAGCGUGGAAGGGAACCUCCAGCAGAAACCGGCCACUCCAAAACAGAGAAAGACGACAGCCAGAGCCAUGACCCAGCACAGCUCAUGCAAACACUAGGAUCCAUAAGAAAGUGCUGGACCUUCAAGGAGAGGAGAAACAGGUACUCCCUCAGGCUCCAGUCCAUUCAUUUCUUCACUACUUCAUUCAUUCAACAAAAACUGAUUAAAUUACCGGGUUCAA